GACGAACUGUCCUAACGUUGUUCGGAAUCACUGGGUUUAAAGGGUGCGUAGGCGGGCAGGUAAGUCAGUGGUGAAAUCCCCGAGCUCAACUUGGGAACUGCCGUUGAUACUAUCUGUCUUGAAUACCGUGGAGGUGAGCGGAAUAUGUCAUGUAGCGGUGAAAUGCUUAGAUAUGACAUAGAACACCGAUUGCGAAGGCAGCUCACUACGCGGUCACUGACGCUGAGGCACGAAAGCGUGGGGAUCAAACAGG
Molecule: ribosomal RNA, 253 nt
Filed under: uncultured organism
Description: partial 16S ribosomal RNA
Rfam family: Bacterial small subunit ribosomal RNA
Source: RNAcentral